UGAUGUAGAAUUGAGGUGAGUUAGGAUAGAGUAUGGUAAGAUGGGGAGCUCCGAUACUAAAAAGCAUUACUCAUGGAUGGGGUUAAGAAACGUCUAUUAUGGGUGUGGGGUUCUCAUCACUCAUACACCACACAUCGUGUUAAAGUGGACAAAGACUUUGGACUUGAUAGAGACAACUUCAAUAAAUUUAAUGGAUAAGUUAUUAAAAAUACUCUUUUGGUGGAUUUUUUUUGUUUACAUUUGACCAUUGUUUCUGUAUCAUGAAAAAAAAUCAAGUUAAGAUUUUAUUAUGAACGAUCGAUCGAUUAUAUUUGCUUUCUUCGUUUGCUCUUAUAUUGCAUGUAUCGUAAGACGCAGCUUAGAACGAUAUGUGGCUGUGUCCAAAGAAGAAUGGUCGAAAAGGGAAGGAAGCACGUCCCUUUAAUGCUUCCUGACCUGCCGAGCUAUUUCCGGAGCACUUGAUUGCUCCCAAGAAGAGGAAGGGAAUCCUCUCUCCAUCGCACUACCUCAAAACGGUGCCCGAGGCCCACCAUAGGUCACACAGAAGAAUCAAUAGUUGACACAGGCAAUUAAUCUAGCAAUAUUCUUUAGAUGAUGUGAUUCAUGAUCCAGGAUUAGUUGCUGUUAAGAGUUCUUACUUCUUUUGUAGUAGUAGUAGUAGUAGUAGUACGAAGUGAUGUGAAUGAUGAUGAUUCCACUGCAUAAAUGCCUCUGGCACUGUUAUUGGACCAUUGUGUCGGACAAAUGAAGGAACAACAUCAAUCAACUGUAGGUGGAUAAGAAAAUGGGAGCCACGUCUUCUUUGCUGAUAACUCUGUGUUCGUCUUGAGAAGAGAUCAGAAGAUGAUGGUGGCCUCUUAGUUGCAGGAUAUGCUCAUUUGAAGCUUCAGCUCUUGGAGAUGUGAAGGUGUUGUGAUUUGAAGGUAAUUCUGCAACUUCUUUUUCUGUAGGUUCAUUAAACAAGAAGGAAUGAUCAUUCAUGGGUUAUGUGACAAGUAGAUCUACUCGACCUAUCAGAUCUAAUCGAAUUGGAGUAAGAUAUUAUAUCAAGUAUAAGAUGUUGGGAAAAGUUCGUAUACGGUUGGAUAGUUGGUGGAACGUAGAUUUGGUAAAAUUUUUGAUCGAGGUAUUUCGUAAUUUGUUUAUUUGAAUUAGGUUUCUUGUUAAUGAUGAGUGUAAAUCGAAAAUAGAUAUUGAAAAAUAAUUUCUUUCCUUCAAAAUUUUGAUGUAACAUAUAUACUACUCAAAAUAUUAAAAUUCUUUAAAUCUAUUACUCUUUUAAUAAUCUAGAAUAUUCAAGUUAAAUGUGAUUAACCAUAAUUAGCAUUAUCUAUUUUGAGUUUUAAAAAAAGUAUAAAUACAUAAAAUAUUCUCUGUGUUUUUAAAGGACUAAUUAUAGAUUAGCCAUGUAGUCAAAUCUCUUUCUCAUCUCGAUUCCUAGAUUUAAAAAAUUGACAUUGGAAUCCCUAUAAUUAUGAAAGUAAAACAAUUAACCCCAUUUACCCUAAUGUCAUUAGUUUUACUAUUAAAACAGAAGAUGUAGCACGUGACAACACAUGUAGGAAUGACACGAAAACGAUGGACAAAAAGAUAAUUUUAAUGUCCUAGUUAUGUAUUCUUUCUUCUUAGAGGUGGUUGCGGAUGAUGACACCAUUGGGGUCAUGGAUGGCUGUUGUGAUUGUGAUUAGCGAGAAUGGUAGAUACAAUGGCCGAUGAGAACGAUGCAGGGAUGUCCUUAGAGAUGGGCCAGAUGGAGUCUUAGGGGUAGAGUUGAGGGACUAUUGUAGCUUCUUGUGAGAGGAGGAAGAGGAUGGCGCAGAUGUCGAUGCUUUGCAUCUAUAUCGAAGUUGCUUUACGUCAGCAUUUACGUCAUUCUCCUCCUCAUCUCCCUUUGUCUCACCUCUUAUUAUCGCUCUUCCUUUUCUCCCUCCUUCCCCUUCUUCCUCCCCUUUCUCGAUCCCUUAUUCUUCUUCCCCCUUUCGCCGCUCUACAUCUACGCCGAUACUGAUCCAGAUGUCAAGCAAUACCAACAUAGAUACAGAGUGUGGACAUCUACGUCGUCUUCUUCCUCCUCUCCUUUGUUUCACCUCUCGUUGUCACUCUCCCUCAUCUUCUCCUCCUCCCCCUUUUUCCCCUCUUGCUCGAUCCAUCAUCCUUCUUCCUCCUUUCGUCGCUUUGCAAUUGCGUCUUCUUCCUCCUCUCACUUUGUCUCACCUCUCGUCGUCGCUCUCUCUUUCAUCUUCCUCCUCCGUCUCCUCCCAUUGCAAGAAACCAUAAAAACCCCUCAACUCUACGGAUUCCACCCGGCUCGUCUCUAAAGAUAUCCCUGUAUCGUUCUCGUCGACCACUGUGUCGUUCUCACCAAUCACAAUCAUAACAAUCACCCAUGACUCCAAUGACAUCGUUAUCUGCCACUACCACUAAAAAGAAAGAAAACAUAAUUAGGACAUUAAGAUUAACGUUUUGAUCAUCAUUUUCGUGACAUUCCUACACGUGCGUCAUGUGCUACACCUUCUGUCAAUAAAACCAACGAUAUUAAAGCAAAUGAGAUAUAAAAAAAACUAACUACAUGAAAUAAUCUAUAAUUAACUCACUUUUAGAAGGCAUUAAUGUCUUUAUAACUUCAACUAAUAGCCAAAUGAUAACUAGCUGACACAAAUUAACCACAAUGUCAUAUGCAAGUUUUUAAGAUUUUUUAAAGAUUUUUUUAAUUAUGUGGAUACAUAUAUCAAAUUAUUUUACUAUCUGGCAUGAACAUUUACUGAUCAAGGAAUCUUCUUCUGGAGACAGGUAAUAAAGAUGUGAAUAAAACAAGCAUUUAUUUCUCUUUUUCUACUGCACUCAUUUGUUCAAGAAACACCUGAAGCAAUACCUGACAUUGAGAGUUACUUGGGGAGCCUUCAAUAUCUUGGAUAAUUACCAUUGUUUCCCUCCAGGAAUUGUUUUGAGAGCUUCAACCUAAUGUUCUGUGAUCAACCAUUUUGUAACAGAGGCAUCAAAUAUAUAUGAUGCACAUUACUUCUUUUUUUGUAUUUUUCACUGAUGCUCAUCAGGUGUGAUCCUACUGUGUUACAGAGCAAACAUAGUUGCAUCCUGCUAUUGUAUUAAAUAUCAUGCUGAGGGCUUGAUCAAAAUCUUCUGUUCUCUGUAUCAUUGAAUUAAAUUUGCAUGCAAUCUAGCAUUAGCUCCUGAAAGCAUGUGCAAAGUCUCCAUACAUUGCAAGUCAUACAUGAGGCAGGUCCCUAAGUUUGGUCAUGUGACAACCUUGGUGGUAUGCCAAGCAAGCUGAACAGUGUAAUUGAUAAAUACAUGUGGCAACUCUCAGAACUUCUUAGAUUAUUUUCCAAAGAUGUUAUAGGUGAUAUUUUUCAUAACCAAGCACAAUUUAGAAUAAAUUUUGAAGAAUUUGACUCCAUUUUGAUACAUUUGAUGCUAUAAAGAAGUGUAAAAAGAAUGAAAAUUAACUGAACAAAACUGCCUGCAUAAGAGAAGGAGAAUUAUGAGAUGCACAAAACUUACAAAUCUGGAUCCAGCAGAAACUACAGCUAAGUGGCCCACAUACCAGAUUACAAUCAUAGAUUGGGCAAAGUCAGUUCUAUAAUUAAUAAUUAAGAAAGCUUUUUGAGAGCUUUUGCCAAAAGAACUUGCUGACACGAGAAGUUAAAACCAGCCAAGGAACCAUCCCAACCUGUAUUUAGAUCAGUGAAAUAGUACAAGGUCAUGGAAGAAAGAAAUUCCAGGAGUCAUUGUGUUUGAUAUACAACUAGUAAUGAGCUUACCAUGAUUUGGCCUGUGACAGCAUCUCCAGCCCUCCAGGACAAUAUCUUGCCUGCCAAAUCAAGAUGACAUCAGUCUUUUGAUGUUGGGUCAAUUGCGAGAUGCGGUGCACAUAGAGAAACUGAUAUGUUACAGAUGAUAGAAAGGGAAAUAAACAAAUAAGCAUAAAAAAUUUGCUCAACACACUAGUUUUUAUGCUUUUGGGUUGAUAGAGGUCAUAAUCCUUGAUCCUAGCCCGCCCAAGAUAAGUUGGUUUGAAAAAAUCUGUUGGUCAGAUCAACUUUGGACCAUCCAAAUUGAACCUGAUUAGGAUUGGGAGGUACAUGUUUACCUCUGAACUAGGAGGCCAAAUUAUUGGUGUCAAUCAACAUGAAUAAAUCUGGGUAAUCUAGUGUUUGAACAGAUGGAUUGGAUAAAAAGCUCAAUAGAUAAACAACAGAAUGGGUUUUUAAAUUUUUUGCAUUCUCUAAUCCCUCAAGCGACUUAAUAAAUUCGAUAUUUCUUCAGCAUACAUUCAGAGAUUCCCUAUAACACUACAGUGUGUAUCAUCCAACAGUGAAUAACACCUUGGCACCAUAGAAAUCAGCACCAUCCUCCUAUUAAUUAGUUUAUUUUUGUUAGAAUUUAUUUAAACAUUAUUUGUUUGACUUCAACUUGACUGAACCUUAGUUGGUUGGCUGUGAUUGAAUCUUCUACCAUAACAAUAAAUGGGUCAUAAUCUCAGCAAAUUUAUGUUGACCAUAAAACAGCCAGAUCCAACCACAACUAAAAUUGCCACACCUAGGUAAAAAAUAGCUUCUGGAAUUUGUCAUAGUCUAGAACCAGUUAAAAUAGUAGCCAAAGAACAAGAAUGUGAUCAUUUUGUCCCUCCCUACCUAAACCCAAACAUAAACGAGCACUUCUCCGUGGGCCAGCCAUUCUUAAAUCGUAAGUCUAAUUAUUUAGUGCAUCACACCAUAUAUGCAAUAAACUUUAUGUGAUCACUUUCAGCAAAUACUAAAAUGAAUGCUCAAUUUUCAUAAAAGAAUAGCCUGGAGCCAAAAUUAUGGUUGGUCCACAAUUCUAUGUUUUUUACACUUUCAAUGAUCUAAUGACAAGCAAUCUAAUAUUUCAAUAAGCUAAUGACAAACAAUUUGUUUCCUGUUUUAUAUACUGAUCAUAAGAAUAGAAGGCAGAAAUACUGGACAAGAAAACUCAGGAAUGUCUGCUUCGAUGUGUAACCCGGCAAUAAUAGAUGUGACCAACUUAUUAAGAUAUUUUAUUUCCAUUUCAUAAAAGUGAAACAUAAAUAGGUUAACUAAAUGUAGCAACAUUAUUCAACAUAAAUUUGUAGGCAAUGUUGAUUAUUUCAAUUUCAGGGAGAAAAUGGCCUAUAAGUGCGUUACCAAAAGGUUGCAACAGAUGCUGAGGAACUGCUGCAACAGGAACCCCCCAGAACCGCAAGACAAGUGCAGCAUAGAGCAGUACCUAGCAGAAGUGAUGGUCAAUGAAUCCUUGACUCCAGAAAAAGAAAGAAUAUGGAUACUCAUUUUACCUUAGAAACCAACAGGGCCCUUCCACACAACUCAUAAGACCAGGAUUUCUCCUUGUUGUGCUCCUCCUGUUCUGCAUUUGCAUUAAACAAGUAAAAGGAAAUGCUCAGAGAACUAGAAGUAGAGAGAGAUGUAGAUAAUAUUCAAAAAAAAAAUCAAUGCACAACUAUUUCUGUGUCUGGAACCCUAAGCACUUAGGUUGCAGAGGAGAGAGCUUGACGUUGUAUCAAGGCCUACCCUCUGCAUAAUAACUGAAGAAAGAUAAGGAAAGUAGCAAAGAAAUGUUUGCAACAAGCACACCACUUAAUUUAAUGAAAUAACCUAAUAUUUUUCCCAAUUGAUCAGAACCUAGCAUUAAUAUAUACCAAGUCAAAAAGAACAGAAAAAUCAAACUGAUCUCAAAUCUAAUACUCAUCGAACUAGAAUCCAACUAUAUCUAGAAAACCUAAAGUUCAACCCCUAAUUAAAUGAAAAAAAUCCAUCCAGAUACAAGUGAAUUAAUUACAACUAAUAAAUUCAAGAUAUAACUUGGUACGAAAUGACACCUUAUUAGAAGGAUUGAAGUAGAUCAUACAGUCUAUCAUUAUCAUCUUCCAUUACUAUGCAAAUAUGCAUUUAAAGAAUAAUUCACAAUGUAUUGCACCUGAGUGAGGCCUAUCAAUUGCAGACUAUAAACCUUGCUCAAAUAUACAUCCCUUUAUAUAGAUCCAAGUUAAGGGAUUGAUCUAUUAAUUGGAGAAUACUGGGACAUCAGUCAAAGUAGCAUGAAAAGUUCUUCUAGAUAGAACCACACACGGAAAGACAGUUAUUAUCUCACAUGCUGUUAUGAUCGCAAAGAACUUGGUUCCCAUAACCUAAGCCCAAAUGAAAUAUCUGGAGAAAUCAAAAUGAAAAGAAAAAUAACUGCAAUUUACAUACUUUUUAGUAGCUCCUUUUCCUUGGCCGCAGCCAAUCGCCUAAGCUUUGCAGAUUGAGCAAAGGUUGAGGGCCUGCAGUAAAAGGAAAACAUUAAUAGACCAUUCCCAAAAUAUACGCAAUAUAUGCAUACUUAAGCAAGCAUAAUGAGGAAACUGCCAGAGACCAUACUUAAUAUUUGACUUGACAUGCCAUAAAGGGUUACAAGAAGCUGCCUAUCCUAAAAACAAAAAUUUGAAUGACUGUAAAUUUGUAAUACAAUUAUCUCUUCUGGGGGUUGUUUGAUCACCUACGUUGAUAAGGAGCUUGCCUCUUUCAAAAGUUGCUUGAUUUCUUUUCGCAAUUGAACUUCUUCAGCGCUCUUCAUCCCUUUCUGUAAAGGCAGUGUUACUCAAGAAUACUCAAAAGGUCCUCAUAAAAGUCAUCAAAAUUCACAUAUUUACAUAAAUAUAUUCUAGAAGAAAAAAUCAGUAUCUUAUAGAACAACUAAUAUCAUUUGCACUAAAUAAGAGCAAUAUGAUCGAAGAAAGGUCGAGAAAGAGAAACAAAAGGGCAAGGGAUAAAAGUUGCAGAAGAGAGGAAAAAAUUGUACCACAGUUGAACUCACAUAUAAAUAUUUACUUACAGGAACCAGCAAGUAGAUAUGACAGAGUGAAGUUCAAUGUCUAUAGAAAGAAUAAAAUCUAAAGUGAAAUAUAUGUUUAGAAAAAAAGUGUAAAUCGAAAUGUCUAACAGCACAGAGCAGCAGAAAAUGUCUGUGCAUGCAGCUAAAUGUGAAAUUUUGAAACGGAUGCAUCUUGACAAAAAAAUUAUUCUCCAACCAUCGAGGCUCCAUGCCUAAAACCAUUUCAGAAUUAUAGAUAGAAACCGAAAAACACACAAAUCAUUCUGGGGGAAGACACAUUUUGCUUCAUGCACCAGCAUACAUGCAACUGAACCUUAAGGAAUUAUAGAUGGAAAUAAAAAAUAAAAAAACUUAAAUCAUUCUGGAAAAAAAUUCAACCCUGAAAAGAAGAUAGUGGCAAUCAACAAAUUAUAGCCAGUCGAUUAUGGUGAUGUAGUAACUAUCAGCAAAGAAAAAAAAUCAGUAUUUCAUAAAUCUGAUUAAAGAAGUUACUGGCAAUAGACAAAAUGAUUAAGUUAACCUCCAUUCAAAAUAGGCCUUAUAAUAAUCAAAACAAAGAUUUUCAUGUUCCAGGAUUCAAAGUUUGAAAAUAUGUUCCUUGAGAUAUAUUAAUCUUAGUCCAAUUCCAAUAAGUGAAACUAUUUGAAUUUCUAUACAGGUCCCCAAAGUGUGGUGCUUAAAGCCUUAUCUUAAAGGAACAUUGGGAAAAAUGUAACAAACUUGUUUCAGCAAUAUCAUUUCAAGUUAUACUGAUUCAUUAAUAAUCCAACACUAGAUAUAUAUUCAACAGAGUACUCCAUAAUCCAUAUGCAUUGUCAAAUUUUGGUCGAUAAUAAGAAUUCUGGUAUCACAAAGUUGCUCAAUAACAAACAAGUCAAACAUUUUAGCCAUAGUUUGAUUGCUCUAUAAAUAUCAAGAAUAGCUAGCCCCACAAUCAUUAUAUUUUUUAAGGAUUAAUAGAUAGCCUUAUGUUAAUUCAGCCUCCAAUUAGAAAAGAGAGCAAGACACAAAAGAAACUGGAUAAUUCUUAUUCAUUGCUUGUAAAGAGAUGGCUCCUGGCUUACAUAAUUACACGAUCAAUUACAGUCUAAAUAGAUAAAACUAAUAAAGUAUCCUUUUAUUCCCAAGUAACAAAAGAGGCAGCUACCUGCCAACCUAUAACGCAUCAUGACACUUUCUAAAUGAUACCUGAGAAAACUAUAUAAUAAUCAAUUAGCUCCAUGUUGAUCAUUUCCUCAAGAUGAACUAUUAUUGCAAAAUAUAGAUUAAAUGGCUCAUUUUCAAAACAAAGAAGCCAAGUACUCGAGGAUUAGACAAAAUGAUUAAUGACAUUAAACACAACUGUUUCAAGUGUUUGAUCAAUAGCAGGUUACGCAGAUGCAUGAGAAUGCUUUAAAAUAAAUAGUUGUUAAAUCAACAAUUCCUUCGCAAUAAAGGGACACCCAGUGUAUAAGGUUCCUGGGUCUGAGUCUCAAUGCAUGCAGCCUUAGCCUUGUAAGGAAAGAGGUUAUUCAAUUAACAAAUCCUUGAAAAUUUCCUCAAUUUAUUCUUAAAAGUAUAACCUUCAUCACCUCUUGACAUUUACAAGAAGCUCUUCUUAUGUAACAGUAUCAACUAGGUCUAAAAAUCAAGAAUGUUGAUCUUGUGGAUUCUUGGCUUAUUCAGCAACUUUGUGGCUUACACAAUGGAGUAUGUAAAGAAGCUAACUAUUUAUUUUCUAGCAUUAAGACAGAGGAUUGUUGACCAGGCCUUGUUCUUCUUCCAAUUGAGCUAAGCCAAUGGGGAUUAACAUAAUUGAUGAAUGAACACCUACCAUCAUGUCUCAAAUCCUCUAUAGGAGCUCAACCAAAAUAAAUACAUCAUAUCAAUCUUGUGGGUAGACAGUUAGUAGUUCAAAGCAAGCCUGACAUUCCCAAAUUGGAUGACCUCAACACUUAUCAAGCUUUGCAAAUGUCAAGAUUAGUAUACAAAAUUGCAAGUUGUUAUUUGAUCAUCUUAGAAAAUAAGCUCUUCUACACUCGUAGCUAAAUUAUCCCCCAAAAAUAUUUGCUCUAAUAACAACUGAUAUAAUGUUCAGCCCAUAUUAGGUAACGUUGAGCACUAUAGUAGGUUGAAAUCCAAUUAGCAAUAGAGAAAGAGAGAAUAAGCAAAAGUAAAUAGAGAAGAUAAACAAGAAAAUAAUUACUGUUUCCUUAAACAUAGACAGCCCAUGGUCCAUCAGUUUAUAAACUCAAUUACAUAUAACCCAUUUGGGAGAUUAGAGUAGGCAACAUUAUCCUUUUGUUAAUGAAUAAUUUUACGAAACUUAACCAUUUGAAAGUAAGAUGCUGAAAAGGAAACAGGAAAUCUCUCGAUUCCAAUAGCGAUAUAUAUUUCAGCAAAGCAGUUCCUAACAAGCAAAACAUUGUUCUUCAUUGCUUACGAAUUCUGUUCGCCUUCACAAUUGCAUAAGACAGAGCAUCAAUUAACAGAGUACCAUAAGCAUACACAAGAUCGCUUCACGCUAGAUCUUCACCGUAGAUCAAACUCUACUCCGCAAAACAAUGAUUAUUCCGAAAAGAUAACUAAAUGUUAACCAUGCUUUCUUAGAGCAGAACCCAAAAUAUGAAUCGUGAAGGGAAAUCCCAUGCUAUCUCAACGGAGAGCACAGAAACAAGAGAAAGAUUCUGGGAGAACUGGCCCUGCCGAUCUGCACUCGCUUACCCUUUUGACGAGCUCGAGGAGGCCAUCGAGGGUUUGCAGAACGACUACGAGGAGGAAGAUGAAUAGAGGAGAGAGGAAGGCGUCGCCACCGCCCGAAGUGCCGCCGUCCAUCCUUGAGGAAGGCGGAGAGAGAGAGACAGAGGAGAUAGAGAGAGAGAGAGAGAGAGAGGUGGCGAUAGGGCGGGCUAUUUGGGGUUUUGUGAAGGGAAAGCGAUACUGCCGGCUUAAGCAGCGGUCCUAACGCGGUCCAAAUGAGACUGAUCACUAAAACCCGGUUCAUGGACCGAUCCGAAAAAUAAACCGGCUUUGGGGAAUUAUCUUGAUUCUAGGAUUUGUUAUUGGUCCAUCUAAAUGACUUCCCAAAUUAAUAGGAUUUACAACACUAAUUUAACAUGAUCAAAUAUCAUCAAAAAAAUGUUUCAUGAUAAUAAAUCAUAUGGAUAUAGAAAGUAUUAGGAUCCUAAAAAUUUUGACAAACACUCUCGAUCACCAUUUAUCUUAAAUUUAUUGAUAAUAAAUCUUAUUUAAAAUGCCAAGUCAACACACACUUAGGAUGAUUAUUAGAUUAUCAUAUCAAGCUAAGAAUAUAUAUAUAUAUAUAUAUAUAUAUAUAUAUAUAUAUAUAUAUAUAUAUAUAUAUAUAUAUAUAUCCUUGGAUCUAUGCAAUGGGAAUCAUAUCGUGAUGAGAUCAUGAUAAUGAGACCGAUUCGUCUUUAAACACAGAUAAUAAAUAAUCCUGGUCAUAGGUUACUUGAUAGGAACAUCGAGAUAAUCGGACAUACUAGUAUGUUGUAUAUCCAUUCAUAUGAUGGAUGUAGUUGGUCUUAUAGUUGCUUGUAUGGAGACAUUAGGGAUACAAUACAGGUGCUCAUUGGGGAAUGAGUUCACUGAUUGAUCUGCUUACGGAAUGCUGAAUGGUUUAUGAUGCCUUAUUAUUAGAUAACGAUUCAGUAGUCUCAGUGGUGUAUCUGGUUCUUAGACUUAAGACAUCAAUGAUGUCUUGUAUGAGUGCUCCACUCUUUGAUACCGAACUUAUAGGUUUGAAUCUCCCAGCUCUAGCACAACCGGUUAUCGAGAGUGAUAGUCAAUCUUAUGAAGGCUAUUGAAUGUCGAUAGAGGAUCAUCCACUCUCAGUGUCAUGAGAGGAAUGUCUCAUGUGUUCUUGCUCAAACAAAUCUCUGGCCAGAGUCAUUCGGAUUGAGAGAAAAAGAGUUCUCCGAGAGAAUCCGAUUAGAGUGAGACUCGAGUAGAAACCAUAUAGGUCUGAUACCAUGCCCAGUAUACAGUAUUUGGGAUAUUAGAUGGAUGAGAGACUAUAUGUAUACAGUAACCGAUGAUAAACAUAUCAAAUGGAUUAGAUUCCCUUGUAUCGUUUGGGGACUGCGACAUAGUGACCAAGUACGUCCGCAGUCGAUGAGUCGAGUGAAUUAUUAUGAAGAUAAUAAUUCACUAAGCUAGAAGGAGUUCUGACAUGUAUGACUCACGGUCAGCUCGAUAUUUGGCCUAGAGCAAUGAGUAGAGAUUCGGAUAUGAGAUAUCCGUCAGAGCCCAUAUCUUAUUGGAUAUCCAUGAAUUAUUGGAUCAUAUGAAUGAGAUCCAAUAAGAACCCAUGAGAGAGUAUUGAAUAGAGAUCUACUAAUUUAAGAGGUUUGGAUUGUUAGAUGAAGAUCUAAUACCUAAUAAAAAAUGAUCUAAUACCCAAUAAAUUUUUACUAUGGAUAUCAUUGCGCUAUAUACCUUGCCCACAGACAUACUACGCAACAAUAGGACGUCGGUGUUCGGCUUCGGAAUGCACCAUCGUUUUGAAUCGGAGUGUGUUUGGGUUCAGUGUUUGCACUGCAGCGGUGGCGUGACCUCCCACCUGCAAGAAAAAGACAAGAGAAGAAGAUCCACCCGCGUUGGUCUGAAGUUAUUGGGAACGAGGCUCUCUACCUCUGUUGUUAGGACUCCGAUGUAGACGGGCAGCAGAUCAGGAUGAAACAGGCCGAAGUUCCGCUGGGAGAGAGGCCCGGGCUUCAGGUUCUCGUCGAAGAGCGAGAAGAUGUACGCCUCGAAGGUGCGGUUCGGCUUGAGCGGCGUGUCGGUGCCGGAAGAGACGUGCUGCACCAGGUUCUUGUUGUAGUCCCGGGCGUUAUCGACGUUGACGCCGAGCUCCCGUGGGUCGCCGACCGACGGCCACCCCGUCUCAGAUAUCACGAUGUCGACGUCGUCGAAGCCCAAGCGCUUGAUGGCGGAGAAGACGGCGUCCAGUUGCCCGUCCAACAUGUUGGAGUAGACCAGCCCCGUGUUCUGGUCCUCCACGCCGGGGUUCAGCCGGAACAGGGCGUAGUCGACCGUGUCGACGGCGAAUCGGAAGAACGGGUGCGCGUUCACCGUGAAAGGGGAGCCGGUGGCUCUCAAGAAGCUCAGCAACGGCCUCAUCACCUCGGCGACACGCCCUUCCCUGAACUUUCCGGUGGACGGGGGGUUGGAGGUGGAGAGGACGCCGAGGGACUGCGGGGAAGCGACCUUGAUGCGGUGCUGCAGCGACAAGCUGGUGAGGACGGUGUGCAGGUUCUGCAUGGCCGGCACGAGGCUGGAGACCAGUGACCUGUUGGCCGUGGAGAUCACCUCGUUGCCGACGAGUAUGCGGGCGUUGUUGGUGUCGUCGACACGAGGGACGAUGUUGGUUCGCACCCAUUUGUGGGCGAAUCUGAGGUCGAAGAGUUUGACGCAGUCGAAGGUGGCGCUGUGGGCGAGGACCUGCGCGACUUGGACAGGUGGGGGGAGAUUGCUUGCGGCUCUGCCGUAGCUGAUGCCAAUGCCGGCUCCAUCAACAGCUGAAUCAACGAACAGAGCAGAGAUCACAAAGGAGCCGACACAUAUCACCGACAGAUACAAAAGGAUGGUGAGGUACCUUUGAUCGUCCAAACCAUGAAGAGGAUGGAGAGAGUGGAAAUGGCUGCAGCCAUGGUUUCUUCCGCAACCAGCUGCACGAAAGAUGAACAGACAAGAAGAUAGCCGUGAAGGGACACGUAGCUAAAGACAUUAACGCUGGAUUCUUUGCUUUGGCCAAGGGGGAUUCUUGGCAAUCAAAUCUUGUGCAUCGAGGUCCCAACUUUGGAGCUUUUAGCUUUUGCUUUCGCUUUGCUUUAGCGUUUCAUUUCUUUCAGAGAGAAGCUGGUGACAUCUAAAGCAUAUUACCAAUCACGUACUAACUUCACCAAACAUUGCUUAGAUUAAGGCAAAAAUAACUAUGAAAUAAUUAAUUCUGGCUUAAUCAAAUGGUUAGUAAAUAUUUAAUGAUGUCAAAUAAAUGCAAUGUUAUCUUGAUAAAUAUAAUCGUCAUCUAAUUACGACCAAUCUGCAAAGAAAUGGUUUUAGCAAGCAGAUCUUUUCUAGUGGAGUCUUUCUCUUCUCAUAAGCAUAUGCAUGUAUCUUCCCACAACAAUGGUAUAUAAUGAUCUCACUCAAAGAUAGAAAAUUCAUUGCUUGGCACUCACUUCGAGCCUUCCGCAGAUAAGAACAUUCAAUUUUGCAGUUAUACACUAUUAAUAUACAAUGAACAAAGUGUUGACCGGAUAAGAGUAGAAGCAUUAUUUUGUGGAUGUCAACACGAAGAGAUGGCAAGCACGGCUGCCUUCGCUUGCUGUCAUCAAUCCGGUCAACAUUCAAUCUCGCAAUUGACGAAAAGAAUAGAAGAGGAAUAAUAUCUCCCCAAAAAGAAUAGAAGAUAAAGAAUAAUUAUAAGAAUAAUUAUUGAAGAAGCUUUAUUGAAACUUUAUUCUGUUGAGGAUUUUCAUCAACAGAUAUUUCUCAUAUAGUUGGAAAAAUCUUAUCUUCUAUGAUACAAAGCUUCGCUUUUCUCAACACGAAUAAUUAUUGAAGAAGCUAAAAAUAAAAAUGCUUCAAUAUUAAUAUGUUCGUUCUCCUAUUUAUACAAAUUAGGAGAAGAUUUUUCUCAAGAUUUUCCUCAAUAAAUUUGCUCGAGCAAAUCUUUAUCUUCUAUCACAUCAUCCUUCUGCCCAAAAUGUGCCACAGUUGACGCCGACUUCUCCCUUGGGCUCCUCUCGUAGUUGGCCCUUCAUGAUUCCAAAGGACCACCACCAUCGGCACUCGGCCGAAAGCACCAAACCAAGGCGCUCUCGCUUCUAUAUAUAUACCGGACGACGCCGAAACCAAGGUCGAACGAACACAAGCACCAUGGCCACCAACGCGGCCAACCCCUGCGAUGGCGAAACCGUCGAGGACAAGCCGGACCGCGGUAUCCCCGCGACGAUCCUCGCUGCGGCCCGCGCCAACCUUCUCUUCCGGUCGAGGUGGGCGGAGGUCAACGGCGCCUUGGGUGACCUGGGCACCUACAUCCCCAUCAUCAUGGCCCUGGCGCUCGCCAAGGACCUCGACCUCGGCACCACCCUCGUCUUCACCGGCGUCUACAACAUUAUCACCGGCGUCAUCUACGGCGUGCCCAUGCCUGUCCAGCCCAUGAAGUCCAUCGCGGCCGUGGCCAUCUCCACCUCGAGCUUCGGCGUGCCGGAGAUCAUGGCCGCCGGAAUAUGCACCUCCGCGGUGGUGUUUUUGCUGGGUGCAACUCGUCUCAUGGAGCUUGCGUACAAGUUCAUCCCCCUCCCCGUCGUUCGCGGCAUUCAGCUGGCUCAAGGCCUGUCCUUCGCGAUGACCGCCGUCAAGUACGUCAGGUACGACCAGGAUCUCGCCAAAGGCAAGGCUUCCGGCGACAGGCGUUGGAUGGGCCUCGACGGCUUGGUCUUGGCCAUAGCGGCCACCGUGUUCGUUGUGAUCGUCAACGGUGCUGGUGAGGCAGCAGAACAGGGUCGGGAGGAGCAAGUCAUCCAUGAACAAGGCGGGGGACGAAGAAGAGCCAAGUCUUGGAGGAAAGUGAUCUUCUCUGUUCCUUCAGCUGUGGUUGUCUUCGUGCUCGGCAUAAUCUUAGCUAUAAUAAGGGAGCCCGGCGUGGUGAAAGAGUUGAAAGCAGGUCCAUCGCGCAUCCACGUAGUGAAGAUCUCCAAGCACGCAUGGAAGGAAGGAUUCAUCAAGGGCGCAGUGCCGCAGCUACCGCUGUCGGUGCUCAACUCCGUGAUCGCGGUGUGCAAGCUGACGACCGACUUGUUCCCCGACAAGGUCGCAUCGGCGACGUCGGUGUCGAUCACGGUAGGGCUGAUGAACCUGGUGGGCUGCUGGUUCGGGGCGAUGCCGUGCUGCCACGGCGCGGGGGGGACUGGCGGGGCAGUACAAGUUCGGCGGGCGGUCCGGCGCGUGCGUGGCUCUGCUGGGGGCGGCGAAGCUGGCGGUGGGGCUGGUGCUGGGGGGGUCGCUGCUGAGGCUGCUGAUGGAGUUCCCGGUGGGGCUGCUGGGCGUACUGCUGCUGUUCGCCGGGGUGGAAUUGGCCAUGGCGGCGAGGGACAUGUCGAGCAAGGCGGAGUCGUUCGUGAUGCUCAUCUGCGCCGCGGUGUCGCUGGUUGGCUCCAGCGCUGCGCUCGGGUUCGUGUGCGGCAUAGUGGUGCACGUGUUGGUCGUGCUGAGAAGGCUGCUGACGACUGAUCGUAACAUGUGAUGCAACGUCGCUCUAAUCAGCCUAAAAUCUAUAAAGCUAAUUGUUGUCUUGUUGCUUGAUAUGUUUGUUUAUAUAUUAAUGUAAUUUUAUAUUUCUUAAAUCAUAAAUUGUUUAAGAAUAAGUGAUGUAUUUGAUAGAAGAUAUGAUUUCUACGAUUAUGAGAAAAUCUAUCUAUUUUGUUGAAGGAAAUCCUCGAUGAAGGUGAGGGAAAGAAGAUAAAGAUAAGAGUGGCCGUUGCCGUAGAUCAUGCAUGCAUCUAAUAUGUUUCUCUCGAUAAACAGGUGACACUGCUUUGAUGCAGACUCGCUUCACAUCGCAUCAGAAACACAUCACCACAGGUGGCUUCAAUCAAAGAAAGCGAUCGAUUCCACAAGGGAUACGUCGGGUGGCGAGGGGCGCCCGUCCUACCCCGCGGAUGACGACAUAGGGACGGAUGGAAUCCGGCAAAUCACGAGCCUCCAAGUAAAAGCAUGGCUAUCUGUGUGGUGGGGGUGGCUGCGUUACCCAUUCGUCGCUCGCUCUCUCUCCCGUGGUCGUGGUUGUUUCCUUCCCAGUAGCACGCAGUAAUGAACGACGAUGGUUGUGGUCAGCGUCGGUGGAACUCAUCAACCCUACUUCAUCAAUCAAUUCGGCCACGCGUUCGUCUUAGAAAAGAAACGCGUCGGGGAAUGAUCGGAAAAGCUUAUAACGCUAGAGAUAAUAACAAGGCAAAAUAAGGGCAUAGAAUAACGGAGUGAAAAAGGAAAGGAUGGUCGAAGAAUCAGCAUGGUUCGAUUUAAUUCUGGAUGUACAAGGUCACAUAUAAUGAUGGAAGGCCACGUGGGUCAAUCUAAUUGUCUCACGUUUACCGACUUAAUAUUAUCGAGAGAGGGGUUUCUUUGAUUUGGUCUCAUAAUAUGACAUAUCACAUAUAUACAUAUUUAAUAUAUAUUUAUAUCUCAUCCAGAUAUAUAUACAUAUAUAAUAUGUGUAUAAGCAAUCACACAUCACAUGAGCAAUCACACCAGAAGAUCAUGGACCACACAGCCUUAUGUGAUUAGGUCUGAGCUAGUGGGUCUAAUCACUCACAUCAAGAUCUAUGUGUAUAGUGAUGCAUCUCAUUGCCUUGUGAUCACCCAUCUCAUUCUCGUCGGUUCCGUCGACAUUUCGACGUAUUUUUAUGCAUCGUGAUUGUCCGUCUCGUGGGUCCCGUUAUCACUUCCACUCUCCUAUUGCGCCAAUCGUUUGAUUACAACUUAAUCAUAAGUACAUAAACCCAACAAUAAAUGAGAAAUAAAAUGAAAGCUUGUAUGCCCCAAUAAUAAUAAUCACAGUUACACAUAUCACACGGUCAAUAAUCAUCCGUCCACAUAUCAUACAUCACAUGUACACAUCAUCAUCAUAUAGGACUACUAGAUAAUAAAAGUAAUAAUAAUUAAUUAAAAUUUUUAAUUAAUUAUUAUUUUCUGAAAUUAGGGACAUGUAGGGAAUUUUUGAAUUAUGAAGGGUAUUUUCUUAAUUUUGAUAAAAAUAGAAAUUUCUCAAAUUUAUAAAGGCAAAAUUAUCUUUUGCCUAGAAAAUCGUAAAUCCCCAUCUUUGCUGCUUGUUGCGGUCGCCGCCACACUGCCGACGACGUCCCUCUACGGCGGUAGCAGGGCCGCCGCCCCUGCGGGCGUUGUGCCCGCAGGUGCACCACCUACAGGCGCCACUGCCCCCGCGGGCAACGAGUGGUUCUGCCCACGGGGACAGCGCCUGCAGGCACUGCACCUUGUCGGGGCAACGCUCGCAGGCACCACCCAUUGCGGGUGGCUCCCCCGCGGGCGAGCGCCACCCUUGCAAGCAGUGCCCGCGGGUGGGGCAGCUGCGGGCUGCUAGGCCCCAUCGGUCGCAAGCCUGCUGCUACACGUGCAACGCUUGUGCAUGCGCUGGCACUAUGCUGCCUGCCUGUGCCUGUCGCUGCACGCACACAGACGGUAGCAAGCUGCCAUCUGCGAGGGCAACAACAAUUGCUGCCCCUUUUGCAUCAAUGAUUUUGACGUCAAAUACUUCUUCAAAACAUAACACAUGCAGUUCAAAACUAAUCUUUCCUAUGAACAAUCUGGCUUUAAUACUACUGUUAGGAAAUUUGAGGGACGAUAUCACAUGCGUAGCGGAAGAAUAUUAAAAACAAAAUCUCAAAUUUCCCAAAGAUAUAUUCAUCGUCAUACGAAGAUUAAUGCGCAAAAUUCGUAAAACAAAAAACUACGUAUAGUAAAGAUUAUGUUACCUAGGGAGAUCAUAUAUCCCUGAAUCCCUAUAGAUCCUUAGGAGAGGGUGAAAGAGAUUAAGCGUCCUCCUCUCUAGCGGUGAUCCAUACAAUAGGGCUGCGACGACACUCAUCGAAACUCCAUGCCUGGUCUGAGGAGGAGAAGGGAAGGAGAAUAGGAGAGGCAAUCCAAAAAGUUUCUAGCAUAUGAACCAUUGAAUCCCUCCUAUUUAUAAAGGUCACUUAUCAACUUAACCAUAAUGGUUUCUGCCCUAUUUGGUAUUGGAUCUCCAUCCAACUACCUAAGCCUCUUAGAUUAGUGGAUCUCUAUCUAAUAAUCUCUCAUGGGCUUUUAUUGGAUCUCAGAUCUAAUAAUUCAUGGGCUUAUUGGAUAUCCAAUGAGAUAAGGGCUCCGGCGGAUAUCUCAUAUCUGAAUCUCUACUCAUCGCAACGCCUAUCAUAUGUGUGUGACCCUCUAGGCCCAAUAUCAAGCUGGCCAUGAGUCAUAUAUGUCAGAACUCCUUCUAGCUCAAUGAAUUAUUAUCUUUAUAAUGAUUCACUCAACUCAUCGACUACGGAUGUACUAUGCUACUACGCCGUAGUCCCCAGACGAUACAGGAGAAUCCAAUCCAUUGGACAUAUUUGUCCUCAGUUACAAUGUACCUAUAGUCCCUCAUUCAUCUAAUAUCUCAGAGAGCGAAUACCAGGCAUGGUGCUAUCAGACCCAUACGGUUUCUACUCGAGUCUCGCUCAAAUCGGAUUCUCCCGGAGAACUCUUUCUCUCUCAAUCUGAAUGACCUUGGCCAUGGAUUUGUUUGAGCAAGAACACAUGAGAUAUUUCUCUCAUGACAUCAAGAGUGAAUGAUCCUCUAUCGAUACUGAAUAGUCAUUGUAAGGUUGACUAUCACUCCCAAUGUCCGGUUGUGCUAGACCUGGAACCUCCAGACCUAUAAGUAUGGUAUCAAAGAGUGGAGUACUCAUACAGGAUAUCCUUGACGUCUCAAGUCUAGGGACCAUAUACACCAUUAGGACUACGAAAUCACUGUUUGACAAUAAGGCAUCAUCAACUAUCCAGUAUUCCGUAAGUAGAUCAAUCGAUGAACUCAUUCUUUAAUUAGUACUUGUAUUGUGUCCCUAGUGUCCCCACACGAGCAACUAUGAGACUAGCUGCAUCCAUCAUAUAGACGGGCAUACAACACACCAGUCUGUCCAGUUAUCUUGAUGUCCCUUUCGAGUAACAUAUGACCGAGAUUAUUUAGAAUAUGUGUUUAAAUGCGAAUUAGUCUUACUAUCGUGAUCUCAUCACGAUCUGAUUCCCAUUGCACAGAUUCAUAUACAUCACAAUAUAUUCGAGCAACAUAUAAUAUAAAGUGAUAAAAUACCAAAUAAUAAUAAUAACCAAAGAGUUUGCGUGUUAAGUCACACAUGUCAUCACUCACGUGAUUGGCUUAUAGGGUACUUAUGACUAGCAGAUGUCCCUCACGAGUAAUCUAUGACAAAGAAUAUUUAGAGUAUGUGUUUAUAGGCAAAUUUAUCUCAUUAUCCUGAUCUCAUCAUAAUCCAAUUCUCAUUGUAUAGAUCUAUAGACAUCACAAUAUAUCAAUCAGACAAUAUAAAGUGAGAAAAUUAUCAUAACAAUAAUAAUAAUAAUAAUGAUAACCAAAAAGACCGUGUAGCAUGUUACACAUGUCAUCACUCACAUGAUUGACUUAUAGGAUAUAUGUAACUAGCAUAACGUAGAUACUCAUCUAUCACUCUUAAUAUAUACUUUUAUGAUGGUGUCAAGUUCUCUCAUCUAUUUUGGUCUAUGAUAAAGAGGUCAUUAACGAUUGUACCUAAGGUACUUUAAAUAGUCAAUCAAUAUAUUAUCGUCGAGACAAUGAUCUUAUAUAAGUGUUAGGAACCAUACAAGAGGCUGCAACAGGAGUGGCCAUAAUUAGCCCGACCUAAAUGUCAUCACGGUGAAAAAGAAAUAAGCAACCAAAGUUACCUCACCUAAGGCUCAAGCUAACCUCUCUAAACAUAAGUGAAACUAAAACUUUCUUACAGAUAACGAAAAAUGAGCUCUUAAGAGGCCCCCAACCAAUGAAAACUUAACUGGCAAAAGAGAUAAGUCCAAGUACUGUCGGUUCCACUGAGAUUAUAAUCACAUCACAAUGUCAAAAAAUGUUGUGACCUGGAAGACUAAAUUAAAGAGCUUAUACAAUGAGGCACCUUGAGCAACUUAUUCGAAAGCAUUUAAAACUCUCACCCUAACCUUAGGGGCUAGUGGAGAGGCAGAUUGAUGUCAUCAUUAGUAAACCUACCUCGAGGGGACGGGUGGAUAGCUUCUCGAGCCGUAAGAUCUACCAUUAAAGAAUGCCAGAAGAUAGAGGGUGACCCAAAGAUAACUUUUAAGGAGGAAAAGAUAUAGUACCUUAACCCGAAUCAUAAUGAUGCCUUAGUGGCCUCUAUGAGGAUAAUUAACACUCGAAUGAAGAGGGUCAUGAUCGACAUAGACAGUUCUACUGACAUCAUUUAAUUAAAUACUUUUAAAAAAAUUAGGUUAUAAACUAAUGACCUUACUUCAAUGACUUCUUCGCUGAUUGUGUUCAUCAGUGACUCCAUCUCCCCUCUUAGGAUUGUAAACUUAUAAGUCAUAGCGAGCCUUACUCCAAGAUAAUAUUGAUUAAGUUCAUGAUGGUAGAUAUUUUCUUGACAUAAAAUGUGAUCAUACACGUAAACAGAAUAAAGGCGAUGGUGUUGACUUACCAUAUGGUGAUUAAGUUCUCAAUGAGAACUGACAUUGGAGAGUUGAGAGGUAAACCGAUGGAGUCAUGCCAAUGCUACCCGAUGAUAGUCUCCCUACCAAAGAAAGUCCAACCUAAGGCACCACCUAUGGACCCUUGAGACUUGGCAAGUAUAUCCCACAUGCUAAGCUAGUAGAGCUACUGAUUGAAGCACCUUUAGAUAAAAAGCCCAAUCCGAUCAAAUUGUUAAGGUCGAGGCGACCCUUCCUAAGGAGAAGCAAGUGUAGCUCAUCAACUUCCUGUGAGAUUUAUAUGAUCGUCAUGAGACAUAUCGGGAAUCGAUCCCAAUGUAACUCAGCAUCAUCUGAAUAUUCUCCUCGAGGCAUAAUCGAUGAAGCAAAUGUCUCGUUAGUUUGCUCUUGAUCGCUAACAACCAAUCAGUGAGGAAAUAGAUAAAUUGUUACGAGUAUAGUUCAUUGUUGAGGUUCAGUAGUUCGAAUGGCUCUUGUAUAGUCGUCCCGAUAGCUCGCCUACCUAAUUAUAGGUAUCUUUCUUUCUUUUAAGCAUUGAAUAAUCCAAAAGAUUUCUAAUAGAUCGAAGAGUACCAGGAUACGUAUGAGAAGUUGAAGGAUUACAUUCUAGGUCUCUACCUCACUAUCAUCAAUUUAACUAAUAAUAAUAAUAAUAAUAAUAAUAAUAAUAAUAAUAAUAAUAAUAAUAAUAAACUAAGAGAAUUAUCUUUGUAACACUAUUGAAAAAGUCGGAUGACUAAAAUAAACAUUCAAUCGCAAGAUUGAUGAUUUAAAUCUUGAUAAGAUAACUUUGAGUGAAUAUAUUUUUAAUUUAAUUUAAUUUAAUUUUUCUAUUUUAUUAUCACAUAGGAUUAUAAAGUUUGAAAAAAAUACAAUAUAUAUAUAUACAUAUACAUAUAUAUAAUUCUAAAAUUAUCGCGGAAUAUUUUAAUAAAGCAAUGAACCAAACUUUCCCUCGUCUUAAUGGGCUGAUAUCAGCACCUGACUCGAGCGCAAUGUGCGCAAAUGGCUCAUCACCUCCACCGGAACACAUCGCCACCGCCCUAUUUCCUUCGUUUCCCCUCGCCGGCGCUCCGCCUCUCCCUCCUCCUUAUCAUCACUCUCGCCCUCCUCUACGCCGCCUCCGUCUUUCUCCUCCACCCUUCCUCUUUCUCUCGACGCCUCCUCCCCCCUCCGCCUCCAUGCGGCGCGGCCGCCGCCGACCUCUCCGCCGGCAGAUGGGCCCGCGACAGCCCGCGGCCCCUCUACGACGGUUCCUGCCCUUUCCACCGCAACGCCUGGAACUGCCUCCGCAACGGACGCGAGGGCAUGGAUUCCAUCAACUCCUGGGUUUGGCUCCCCGACCGCUGUGGUGGGCAGCCGAUCCCACGGAUCGACCCAGCGGCGUUCCUCGGCUCGAUGAGAGGGCGAAAGAUCGGGUUCGUUGGCGAUUCGCUGAACGAGAACUUCUUGGUUGCGUUAUUAUGCACGCUGAGGUCGGCGGAUGGUGGGGCGAAGAAGUGGAAGCGGAAAGGGGCGUGGCGGGGUGGCUACUUCCCCAAGUUUGAUGUUGUCGUGGCUUAUCACCGCGCGGUGCUGCUCGCGAAGUACACGUAUGUGGCAUUGUUCUUUUUUCUCUUUGUCAUUGCUUUGCUUUGUGGAUCUCAGAUCAUGCAUCUCAAAUCUGCUUCUGGCUUGAGCUUGACUUCCGCUGAGUGCUAUCAUUUCAGCCAUGAUUCAGGACGUCUUUCAUGCUAGAUUAGUAAUGCACCUUCUUGGAUUCGCUUUUGGGGUUUUAUUUGCGGUGAAACUUGAAGUUAGAAGAUCCCUAAUCAAUAGAGCUAUACAAUAACGACACUCGAGUAACUUAUCUUGGUUUCGAGCCAUACAGUAACAACACCGGAGUAUCUAUGGUAGUGAAAACCAGACUUCUUUGUGAGAAUUAAUGAACAAGUGUUAGAACUAUGCAACAUAUAUUUAAGAAUCUGCAGACUCAUAUAUUGCUAUUUUAAAUGCUCAUGGUUGUUUUCAAUCUGGAAGUCUUCACAUAGCUGAACUGGCAAUUGCGACAUAUGUGGCACUUGCUUGACGGGUGUAUGUGAAUAUAAUACCGAAUCACUGGAUGAAGAAUUCAAUGACAAGUCAGGUGAUCCUGGAUUUAGUGUAUAUGCUACAAGGGUACAUAAUUACAGAAGAUUUUUGUAAAUGGUGUAUAACUUAUCAUGGUGCCUUCCUCUUACAGAGGGCAUUAUAUGCUCCACAAUAGCAGCUAGGUAACACCAAGUAAGCUUUAUCUCAUUCUAUCAAUUAUAAGCUGGGGGUGAGAUCACCCUGUUUUUGAUGAUUCCCAUAAACUGUAUCAGGGAAUUUGAACUGGUGAACUUAUUUUCUAAUGAAGCCCAUAGGGAAAAAAAACUGAGAAUAUGUUGUUAACUUUAGCUUUAAACAUUCUGACACUGCACGAAUAUCUUUUAGUGCUUCACACGGCUGUUGUAGAAAAUAUUGAGUAAUGUUGUUCAGCAUUCACUUAAAUUGAAAGGAUGGCCAUUACAUAUAAUUUUCCAGAAAAAGACUUUAAAUAGAAAACUUGUUCAUCUAUAUAAUAAAUUGUCUCAAAAGUUUGGGGACAAAUGUCACAUUUGUACAACAUGGCCAUGCAGGCAAUACGACAUUGUAUCCCUUUAACAUGGCCAGCAAAUGCAACAGCAUCUCAUCUUGUUCCCUACAUGAAGAUGAAGUUCUGGUUAUAACAUCUCAUGUCACUUAAAACUUAAAGCUGGAAAUGAAAUUCCCUUGGCCAAAUUACCUCUUCAUUAUUUAAGAGUUUUCAAUCGUUACAUGGUCAAUGAUGGAUCAUAACUCAAAUAUAGAAGGUUCUAUGAAUAAUUACAAAAUAUUAUAAUUGGUAUUGACUUGAUAACAAUUCUAUAUUGCAAAUUCUUCAAAAUAUAGGCAAGAGAAACUUAACAUGAAAGCCAGUGAAUUUUAAGAUCUGCAUUGCUCUUUAUCUUUUAAGCUCAAACAACCAGGGCAAGUAAUUCAUUAGAAAUAUCCCUCAAAUUCGGGAAAAGUCCUGAAGGAGGAAAAUGACAAGUUUUUUUUUUCUGUGUUUGAGAAAUAUUAGUUUUAUAAAUCAAAUAAGGAAUUGCUCCAAUACAUGAUCUUGGAGCAAUUAUACAGGAUGUAAUUAUCAGUUUAGACUGGUUGUAUCCUAAAUUGUGCUUACUCAUCAAAAUUUAUUUCACACUUAUCAUAUUGGAUGGUUGUCUUUAAAUAAAUUUUUAUUAGGAGAACAAAGAAUGCCCUAAGAAUACCAUCUAAUCCCUGGUGGUCCAUGCUGCUUCACUGUUAUGAUUCAUUUUGUUAUGGUUGCAACAAGCUUUUCCCAUCCUCCAAGAUUUAGUGCUCAUAUUAUGUACUAUAUAGACCCUAUGUCAUCUUAAAUGUGACACUUCAUCCACAAUCACAAUUGCAGUAUUAUUCAUCAGAAAUAUUGUCCUUGAGCUUUCUGAAAUAUGUAAAUGAAAAUUUCUUAUGCAUAGAGGUGAGAAUAAUAAUUAUCUCAGAGCUUUCACCAAAAAUAAUAGUCUGUUCUGAUCUAUGUAGUUAUUUGUGUCAUGUGGGUUGUUUUCUCCUUAUGUCACAUUAAUCGUCAGAUGUUUACAUGCUCAAACCUGUUGUUUAAGGUGGCAGCCUGUGGAUAACUCAGCUCAUCUUGGUCAAGAUGGAGUGAAGGGGACCUAUAAAGUUGAUAUUGAUGUGCCAGCUGAUGACUGGGCUAAUGUCACAAAGUUCUAUGAUGUCCUGAUAUUCAAUACUGGGCAUUGGUAAGUUCCAUCAUGCAUUUCUCUUGCUUCAUACACGUCAUCUUUGUGAUUGGUUUUCAUUCUACUGCAUUGGUUCAUGCUAGGUCCAACCAGUCAUUUGUUUGUUACUGUGCCUUGCUCAUCCUGGCAAGUGAUAGAAUGGUUUAAUCACGUCUGUGAAAAGAGUUGGGGAAUGCUGGUUUGUAGUGCCUGCACUAAUCAUAUAACUGUAAAAAUGGAUGCACACCAGCAUAUAUAACCCAGCUGAUGUUGAGAUGUGACCAGUACAUACCGGCACACUGCAGUGUUAAAUGGCAAUGGACCCCAAUAACCACUCAGCGACCACCAGCCUCAUGGUGGAGAUGCAAGCAUGUCUCUGACGUGCUUGUAUUUGGUACCUUGCUAUAAGUAAGAUUAUUGAAUAAAUAGCCACAAAUCUGAAAUAUUUCAAAACCAGUGAAUGCUUGUUGACAGUGGCGUUUGUGAACCAUAACCUUGUUCAAUGUUUCUAAAUUUUUCAUUUGCAUCCUAGUCAGUUGAUAUGCUUUUAUUUAUUCAAGUUUGCAUUAUGGCACAACAUGUAUAGUGUAUAUUGUGAUAUGUAUUGAGCCAUUAGCCAGCUUUUGGCUCUUUGUGUGGCCCUGUUUUUCAGUGACAAAUUUAGGCUUCAUUUAUUUGAAGGUUUAAAAUAAAAUAUUUAUGAAAAUUAAUGAACAUUCAUCUCUCUCUUUUGGUGUUUUACUUUUUCUGAUCUGGAGUAUUCAUCUGAUUAAUUGCAUAUUUGCUAUACAUUUUUUAAUAUUCUCUUUUUAUAACUAGUUUAGGGUUAUUGAUGAUAUUGUCAUUUGACAAACGUGACAUUUGCAAAAAUAUCCCCUAAAAUAAUGUUCAAAUGAGAAAUGAAGUAAAAUGAAAUUUAUUUCAGCCAUUGAUUAAUAGAGCUGAAUCAUGACACAGAGAAAUAGUACAAGGAAAAUAAUUACAUUCUUACUCAACAGACUGGUCCAAUUACAAGAUAGUCUCGGCUCAAGUUGUGUACCAAAUUUAUGUCAUUUAUAUACGGCCUUAAGAUGGACCACUUUAAAACUUAGUUUGGAUAAACUUGGUCUCAAGCCUUGUAUUGCAUUUACUGUGCAGGAUUUGUUCCUUGAUCAAUGUCAAAUUACAUUCUCCAUUGUACUAAAUCAAGCAUAAAUUAUAGUCACAAUUAAUUGUCAUUAUAUGUUAAAUAGAUUCCUGAGUAUAACUUAACUAGGGUUGCUGAUCAUGUUUGCAAUGUUGAAUUCCUGCAGAGAACAUGUUUAACACUAAUACUUGACAACAUUACAUUUUCAAAUUAUUGUUCAAUUAAGGAUGAUAUUUCUGCACUCUGAGAUGAUGAUGUUGUCCAUGUGAUUCUUCUUCCAUAGCUGCUCUUUGGGGAGCUUAAAGGCUUAUGUUACUCUUCUAUUGGUUCUUCUACAAAUGUAUCCUGCAAACUCUUGCUAUUCAUAAGCUACCCUAAGGAAUUACUAGUAGUACAAAUUGUCUACUGAAGACCACUGCACUGUUUCAUGGAGAUCAGUGUGAAGUUAAAUGUUUAUAAACAUUCUUUAGGAAAUUUUACUGAAUGUGGACAAAUACAAAAUGAUAUCAAGAAAUAUGCACUUUUUAUUGAGAGACAUGAAAAAUGUUUAUUUCCUUAUGCAAGUUCCUAGAUUGUGGUUAUUUCUAGGUUAAUACUUGUACUGUUCCUUGGGAAGGAAACAUUUAUGCACAUAUUGAAAUUAAAAUUAUAUCCAAAUCUGUAGUCAUAAGCAGCAAAAAUGAGCGAUCCCUUUCAAAUGAUGAAGCUCUCUAGAAAUAAAGUUAAAGAAAAAGAGCAAAUUAAGCAAUUAGCGAGCCUUUUUUAAGUAGAUUGAAUGAAUAUGUAUUUUACAUUGUCAUUGGCCAUGUGAUGCAAAUAUUUCUUCCAAAGCCUGUCAAGUGAAGUAACUAUGAUGUUUUUUUGUUUCUUUUCUUGUUUGUAGAUCAUUGCUUUUGUCAUACAUUACUUCUCAUUUGGUAAUAUCCACACUACUACGAUAUUAUUAAUUGACUAUAAUUUUGUUGCCUUUAAUUUAUGUGGUCAUGAGGCAAUAAAAGUGGGGAUAAUAUCUUAUGUUGUAGCUAGAUGAGAUGAGACAAUUAGUAUCAGUGGUGUGAGAAGAGGUAGAAGAAAUCAUAAAAAAAACUUUGUUAACACUAUCAUUAAAGGUUUUAAAUGCACUUAACUAAACCAAGAAUAUUGAUUUGAAACGAGCUCAAUGGUGGAAGAAGAUCCAUAUAGCCAACCCCAAAUAAUUAGGGUAUUACAGCUUGUUGUAGUUGUAGUUGUUGUAUCAGUUCAACUUAGAGCCUAUUUAAGUGCAUACAAAUGUUUGAGGUAAAAGAAUCACUUUCUGAUAGAUCUAUCUUUUGGAAGUUGACUUAAUAAUUUUGUUUUUUUUAAUUAUGGUUGAAGAAAAAUAUUUUUGUGGUAAUGUUUUUGUAAAAAAUGGAUUAUUUUGGAGAUCAUCAAUUGUCGGUAAUGUAAAAUUAUGGUUACCGGUCGAUGAUCUUUGGUUGUUCAUUCAUCGAUAAUUUGAUCCCAGUCAUUGAUCAUUUGUAAUUCAGAUCAAUCAGAAUUGAUGAAUGAUGAUCAUCAGCCAUUGACCUCUGGCCAGCUAGUGGUCAAAAUUAGGUUAUGGUCACCAAUCGACUUUGAUGUCAAUGUUAUCAAAUCAGAAUAUUUGGAAUUGGUCACUUUAAUAUAGUGCCCCUUCCCUUUGUUCACUCUUCUGUAAUGAUAUAUGUCCACUGUAGAAUUUGUGCAUCAAUUCAGCCUUCUGUUAAUUGUUUUCCUUUUAUUUGUUGUUAAUUAUUGUGCACAGUUCUGAUUCAAGCUUUACUUUGAUCAGAUCAUGUACAUACAUUUCUGUUUCAGUCCAUUAUUUCUCAUGGUUCAACACCUCAUCUAAUAUUUUAAUUUGGUCCAUUCUCUGUAAUUAAAUAAUAGUUUGCAUGGACUCAACCUCUUGGUUUCCAUGUGAUGGGUCAUAUUUUUCGAAAGUGUAUACAUAUAUAGAUGUUAUUUUAUUUGCACUAUGAAAGUGUUUCUUAUGUUUUGGGAGUUUCUGUAUCUGUUGUUCAUUAUGAAACAUGUAGUUCUCACUCUUAUAAGUUAUAACCUGCUUUGCCUGUUCUUGAGAUGAUUAUAUUGCUCUAUAACUUUUGUUUACGGGACCAAAUUAUUAAAGGCUGUUAUCUUAACCUACUGAAACAGGUGGGGCACUGAUAAAUUCCCAAAUGAGACACCACUUGUUUUUUAUCAGGGAGGAAAACCAUUAGACCCUCCACUUGGAAUCAUAGACGGACUCGAGGUAGUUCUGAAUAGUAUGAUCUCCUACAUUGAAAAAGAAGUCCCUGAAAAGACCCUCAAGUUUUGGCGUACUCAGUCACCGAGGCACUUCUUUGGUGGGGAAUGGGAUCACAAUGGCAGUUGCGUGUUCGGUGAGCCUCUGAAAGAGACCGAGGUAUAUAUGCUGAUUGAAUCUUGUUCUAAGCUUUGAAAGAUACAUUGUGGUUAGAAUACAUGUUUUUGACAGUUAUAUCUGAUGUCCUCCACAGCUCGAUUCAUGGUUUGACACCAAACGUAAGGGAGUCAAUAAGGAAGCAAGGGAAGUAAACUCUCUGAUUCAACAAGCAUUGCUAGGUACAAACAUAAGGUCACUAGACCUGACUCAUAUGAGUGAGUUCAGAGCAGAUGCACAUCCAGCAAUCUGGUUGGGCAAGAAGGACGCUGUGGCAAUCUGGGGCCAGGACUGCAUGCAUUGGUGCCUCCCGGGCCUUCCGGAUACUUGGGUCGAUAUCUUGACUGCCCAGAUCAUAUACAACUUAGAACUGGGCUGACAAACGUGCAGAAGCAAGCAGCAUCUUAUGGGGCAUGCCGAUGUCUUACAGUCACCCAGAAACUAAUCAUCUGAAGUUUGGUCCAUCUGGUUACCAUUUAGUUGCUUGUAUCUUCUUCCUAUAUUUUUUUUGACAAGAUCAUUCAUAAUUUUCUUCCCACAAAAUCAUUCAUAAUCUUCGGAUAGAAAUGUAAUCAUACACUUUUACUUUUAUUCUGUCCCCUUAUUAUGGGGGCAGCGGCUUUAAUGCAAAUCUCGUGGGCCAACAAAUGUUAUUUCUGGGCAAAUUCUAGGCAGCUUUCAAUUGUGUUAACAUUUUUGUUGAUGUCAGAAUCUUAGUAUCUGUCUUUUAGCUUUAUGUUUUGUAUGUGUUAUAUCUAAUCCUAUGGUGUACACAAUUGUAAUUCUCAGUUCACACAGGUAUUCUUGUAGUUCUUUCCCUCUUCCAAAAUUUUUUGUUGAUGUAUAUUUAAGACUUUUACUGAAACUGAGGGUUAAUUUGACUUGAAGAUGAUUGGAGAAUGACCAGAGACACUGUCUUGGAUCGACAACGGUUUCUGAUGAGGUAUUGGCUUGUGUCUUCCCCAAUUUUCUCUUGAUUACAAAUGAUUUCAGGUGGUAGAACAUCUUUUGACAGAUCUAAAAUGGGUUAUCAAUCUUAUAAAGUUGUGUUCUUUUUCCCGGAACUAAGAAGAUUUAUAUCAUCUUUUCUUGUGGACAGGUUCCGAGUUGUUGCAACUUUCCACAGCUAUGUUUCCAGAUCAAUGCAGCGGAGUUCGGAAGGUUUGGUCCCCUCGUCGAAGAACCAGAGCUCUCAGCCGGUGCACCACCGUCGUCCCCGGAAUAACGUCGCGCAAGUUAUAAUGGUAAUCCAACAUACCAUCAACUUUUGAUGUCGACAAUUGUAGAUAUCAUUACCAAUAUUUAUUAACUAAACCAAAAUUUGAAGAAUAUAUUUCUCGAUACAUUUAUUUAUUUUUAUCCUAUAGAGAAAGGAAGAGUGAUUUAUUUUACACAGCCCACAAUCAUGUAUUCUUAGGAGAUUUGUGACCAUCUGGAUUGCAGCAGACAUGAUAUUCUGUGACCAUAAAUGCUGUUCGUAAAGCGAAUUAGACAUGAGAUUCUGUGACUAUCACUUGGAUUUUGAAUGACCCUUUGCUUGUGCUUCCUUUAAUGAACCUUUUUGCUUGCACUCUCUUCCAUGAACUGUCCCUUUCAGGUCUCUCUUAUCAGACAUCAAUCAACCAUGCGCUGUGUAGCACAGUGAUAUUUGACGGCCAUGAGCGAUGGUAAGAAAGCAGAUCAAAUAUAUCAUAGAGAAGAGACUAUUGCUCCUCCUUAUUGGAGACAUAAGCACUCACAGAUUACACUCUCAGCCUUGCAUCGGACAAUGCUUAUUGCAUCACACCAAAGCAAACCAAAGCAGGUAGAUCGAGACCAGUUUAGUUCCAGCAGACGCAUCUGGUAACGCCGGGAGUCGCUCUUAUUUUGGCGCAGCUACGAUAACAUCAUGCGAGUUGCCGUGCGCCCUCACGAGCUUCAGCAAGUCCGAGGUCACGCCCAGAGAUGCUUCGAGGACGUCGGCGUUUGUGAGGCUCAGCGGCGACGUCUUCCCCACCACCGGGUGGAAGAUGGGCCUGCAGAGAACGCAUGAGGAGCUUCGCAUCAGAGCGUCAAGGACCUGAAGCUUUAAGUCGCUUCUCGUUACCUCUCACUGGUGAUGAUGGAGAACCACUCCAACCCCUCGCUGCCCGCGACCGCCGCCAUCACGUAGAACUUCUGCACCACGAACACGCAUCCUGCUGCCACCUCCUUGUCCAUGAUGGUGGCGCCGUUGACUCCGCUGAUCUGAACUUGUCCGCUGCCUCUGGUGAUGUACACGAGCUGGAUGUCGGGGAAGAACCCCGGGACGCGCAUGGCGUUGGGCUCGAGCUUGGUGAUGUUGAUGGAGAACCUGAACCGCCCUUCCAGGGCGGCGAGGUUGUCCUUGGUCAUCGACACGACGUGGCCGCCACAGGGGACGUGGUUGCUGAACCGGGCGCUGUCCUCGUGCAGGACGAUCCCGUGGCGGUCGCGGUCGUGAGUCUUGACGCACAGCUUCUUCUCCGGUUUGAUGAUCUGGAUGCCGGCCUGGCUCGAGAAGAGCUUGGCCGCCGCUUCUUGGCUCACUCCGCUGGCCUUGGCGAGGAAGUCCGUGGAGAGGCCAUUGUAGACCGCCGCUUGGCCUGCAACUAAGAAGUAGGUGAUCAAGCCCUGGGUGAGACCGGCGGCGCCGUCGCCCAGGUAUAUGAUGGAGAAGUCGGUGUCCCCGUCGUUGUACCACCAUGU
Molecule: long non-coding RNA, 30109 nt
Filed under: Musa acuminata (dwarf banana)
Lineage: Eukaryota; Viridiplantae; Streptophyta; Magnoliopsida; Zingiberales; Musaceae
Description: long non-coding RNA (MACU_LNC001575)
Source: RNAcentral